GUCUCCGUAGCUCAGUAGGAUAGAGCACAGGAUUCCUAAUCCUGGGGUCGCAGGUUCGAAUCCUGCCGGGGACGCCA
This 77-nucleotide transfer RNA is filed under the name Tistrella bauzanensis. RNAcentral's name for it is "tRNA-Arg". It matches the Rfam family "tRNA". From Rfam's summary of the family: Transfer RNA (tRNA) molecules are approximately 80 nucleotides in length. Their secondary structure includes four short double-helical elements and three loops (D, anti-codon, and T loops). Further hydrogen bonds mediate the characteristic L-shaped molecular structure. tRNAs have two regions of fundamental functional importance: the anti-codon, which is responsible for specific mRNA codon recognition, and the 3' end, to which the tRNAs corresponding amino acid is attached (by aminoacyl-tRNA synthetases). tRNAs cope with the degeneracy of the genetic code in two manners: having more than one tRNA (with a specific anti-codon) for a particular amino acid; and 'wobble' base-pairing, i.e. permitting non-standard base-pairing at the 3rd anti-codon position. The record is from RNAcentral. RNAcentral also lists the same sequence under 1 other name. Lineage: Bacteria; Pseudomonadati; Pseudomonadota; Alphaproteobacteria; Geminicoccales; Geminicoccaceae.